Molecule: ribosomal RNA, 468 nt
Filed under: uncultured bacterium
Lineage: Bacteria
Description: partial 16S ribosomal RNA
Rfam family: Bacterial small subunit ribosomal RNA
Source: RNAcentral
GACGAACGCUGGCGGCGUGCUUAACACAUGCAAGUCGAACGGAAAGGCCCUGCUUUUGUGGGGUGCUCGAGUGGCGAACGGGUGAGUAACACGUGAGUAACCUGCCCUUGACUUUGGGAUAACUUCAGGAAACUGGGGCUAAUACCGGAUAGGAGCUCCUGCUGCAUGGUGGGGGUUGGAGAGUUUCGGCGGUUGGGGAUGGACUCGCGGUUUAUCAGCUUGUUGGUGGGGUAGUGGCUUACCAAGGCUUUGACGGGUAGCCGGCCUGAGAGGGUGACCGGCCACAUUGGGACUGAGAUACGGCCCAGACUCCUACGGGAGGCAGCAGUGGGGAAUAUUGCACAAUGGGCGGAAGCCUGAUGCAGCAACGCCGCGUGCGGGAUGACGGCCUUCGGGUUGUAAACCGCUUUCGCCUGUGACGAAGCGUGAGUGACGGUAAUGGGUAAAGAAGCACCGGCUAACUACGUG